GAUGAAGAACGUAGCGAAAUGCGAUAAGUAAUGUGAAUUGCAGAAUUCAGUGAAUCAUCGAAUCUUUGAACGCACAUUGCGCCCGCCAGUAUUCUGGCGGGCAUGCCUGUUCGAGCGUCAUAUCAACCCUCAAGACCCCUUCGGGGGACUUGGUGUUGGGGACCGGCACAGGGGCCUGCCUGCUUGUCUUGCAGCGCCCUCGCCGCCCCCGAAAUGAAUUGGCGGCCUCGUCGCGGCCUCCCCUGCGUAGUAGCACAAACCUCGCAACGGGAACGUGACGGCGGCCACUGCCGUAAAACAACCCAAUUUUAUUAGAGUUGACCUCGAAUCAGGUAGGAAUACCCGCUGAACUUAAGCAUAUCAAUAAGCGGAGGA
RNAcentral lists this unclassified non-coding RNA (375 nucleotides) under soil metagenome. RNAcentral describes it as "partial contains 5.8S ribosomal RNA, internal transcribed spacer 2, and large subunit ribosomal RNA". The stretch from base 1 to 120 matches the Rfam family "5.8S ribosomal RNA", at positions 35 to 154 of the family's 154-position model. The record is from RNAcentral.